RNAcentral lists this small RNA (94 nucleotides) under Chryseobacterium sp. CBTAP 102. RNAcentral describes it as "Flavo-1 RNA". Lineage: Bacteria; Pseudomonadati; Bacteroidota; Flavobacteriia; Flavobacteriales; Weeksellaceae. The record is from RNAcentral.
CAAUAGCCCCGAUCUAAGAGAAAAUCCCGCAUUGAGGCGGCGGCGCGAAGCAGAGCCGCCGAGCGAGGAAUUGGAACGGAGAGCGGGUUCCCGG